This 1236-nucleotide long non-coding RNA is filed under the name Olea europaea subsp. europaea. Lineage: Eukaryota; Viridiplantae; Streptophyta; Magnoliopsida; Lamiales; Oleaceae. The record is from RNAcentral.
AUUUCAAGUCAUUUUCGCAGAUGGUACCAUGUGCAACACAAUAUGAAAUAGAGCAGCAGUUGCAAUCAGUUUAUACCAUUUCUAAAUUCAGGGAAGCUCAGGAAGAGUUCGCGGGGAAGGUUUACUGUGACCUCAUAUCUUCUUCAGAGGGGGCCUCUGGGACGACAUACGAAGUACGGCAGGAUUUUAUGUACGAGGGCCGAAGAAAGAAAAAAACAUUUUUUGUCACAUUCGAGAAAGAUAGUUGCGAGGUUGUAUGCAGCUGCCAUUUGUUCGAAUUUCGUGGAAUAGUUUGCCGUCAUGCAAUCGCAGUCUUGAUUCGCAGUGAUGUCAACUUACUUCCAGAACGGUAUAUACUUCGAAGGUGGAGGAGAGAUGUUAGUAGAGCACAUGCAAGGGUGUCAGUGAACUACGAUGGUUUGGUUAGUUCUCCUGAACAAUUAAGAUACGAUGACAUGUGUCGCGCGUUCGCGCAAAUUGCAGACCUUGCUGCUGAUGAUGAAGGGUGAGCACGUGCUAUUAUGGACUGGAUAAAAGUACAGUAUAAAGACCUGAUGACGGCAAGAAGGUCGAGUUUUGGAAGUAAUGCUCUCGUGCAUCACACUAGUCAGGGCGGCGAACAGUGUGCUACUUCGCAAAAUAAUGCAAGCAUGAAUGUGCAGAAUUCGAAAUUGUCGAACAGGAAAGGGCCGCCUAGGAAACUGCGUAGAAAAGGCCCGUUGGAGUCGAGUUCAUCCACAGCGAAGGUACAUUUAAUUAAAAAACUAUAGAUAUCAACGGACUAGUAUAUACAAAUAUUGAUUAUGUUUGGGGAGACAUGCAGGGAAUUUCAGCAUCAACAAAAGGAAAGAGACCGAGGGCAAGGCGUAGUGAUAUGCAAGAUGGUGGAGUUGACGUUCAGCAUGCGCCGCAACAACAUUACUCGGUGCAUACACCGAUGUCAUUUUUGCAGUACUCCAUGCCAACACAAUUCCUAAGUCCACAAUAUUCAUUCGCUACACCAUUCCCCCACACAGGGGUCUUACAAUCUUCAAGUUUUAUUCCUCCGUCGUCGUCAAAUAUUAUUUAUACUUCACAAGGUAAAAGCAUGAUUUGACAUUAUAAAUCAAUUCUUCAUUAUUGUUUAAUCGCAAACGAGGUUAUAAUUUUUAUUUCUAUUUCAUCAUGAGUGCUAAUGCAGUCUUCAAAUGUCCCACUUUGGACAGGAGGUGCAUCAGUCGAACAAGCAAGUACACG